RNAcentral lists this transfer RNA (74 nucleotides) under Rhizobium phage RHph_TM40. Its description in RNAcentral is "tRNA-Thr". It matches the Rfam family "tRNA". Rfam says of the family: Transfer RNA (tRNA) molecules are approximately 80 nucleotides in length. Their secondary structure includes four short double-helical elements and three loops (D, anti-codon, and T loops). RNAcentral also lists the same sequence under 3 other names. The record is from RNAcentral. Lineage: Duplodnaviria; Heunggongvirae; Uroviricota; Caudoviricetes; Kleczkowskaviridae.
GCUCCUAUAGUUAAGUGGUAUAACUCCUGUUUUGUAAUCAGGGUUCCUCAGUUCGAUUCUGGGUGGGAGCACCA